AGAAUCAACGCUGGCGGCGUGCCUAACACAUGCAAGUCGAACGAGAAAGUGGAGCAAUCCAUGAGUAAAGUGGCGACCGGGUGAGUAACACGUGACUAACCUACCUUCGAGUGGGGGAUAACAUCGGGAAACCGAUGCUAAUACCGCAUAACAUCGCAAGAUCAAAGCAGCAAUGCGCUGGAAGAGGGGGUCGCGGCUGAUUAGCUAGUUGGCGGGGUAACGGCCCACCAAGGCGAAGAUCGGUAGCCGGCCUGAGAGGGCGCACGGCCACACUGGAACUGAAACACGGUCCAGACUCCUACGGGAGGCAGCAGUGGGGAAUUUUUGCGCAAUGGGGGAAACCCUGACGCAGCAACGCCGCGUGGAGGAUGAAGCCCCUUGGGGUGUAAACUCCUUUCGACCAAGACGAUAAUGACGGUACUGGUGGAAGAAGCACGGCUAACUCUGUGCCAGCAGCCGC
This 460-nucleotide ribosomal RNA is filed under the name uncultured bacterium. RNAcentral describes it as "SSU rRNA". It matches the Rfam family "Bacterial small subunit ribosomal RNA", at positions 26 to 518 of the family's 1533-position model. The record is from RNAcentral.